This 126-nucleotide microRNA precursor is filed under the name Myotis lucifugus (little brown bat). Its description in RNAcentral is "mir-9193 microRNA precursor family". It matches the Rfam family "mir-9193 microRNA precursor family". Lineage: Eukaryota; Metazoa; Chordata; Mammalia; Chiroptera; Vespertilionidae. The record is from Rfam by way of RNAcentral.
CAUGCACUGGUGGGGUCCCUCGGCCUGGCCUGUGCCCUCUCGUAAUCCAAGACCCCUCGGGGAAUGUCAGAGAGUCGGUUUCAGCCUGAUCCUGCAGGCCAGGCCGAGGGACCCCACUGGUGCAUG